Long non-coding RNA from Drosophila grimshawi, 563 nucleotides. RefSeq lists it as uncharacterized. Lineage: Eukaryota; Metazoa; Arthropoda; Insecta; Diptera; Drosophilidae. The transcript has 3 exons. The record is from RefSeq and is a predicted model, not a curated record.
GAACGUGCGUUCAUAUUUUGUAAUCUUGUAUAGUAAGGGAGAUCAUACCCCCAAUUGCGAUAGAAACGACGAACUGUUUAAUAGUCGUGAAUUUUUUUUCGUUUCCAUCUUUGAUGACGUGCACGUGGUCAACUGCAUUGAGCAGCGUUUUGCUGCUUACAAUGCUGAUCAUUGCGUAAUUCGCGUAGACCAAUGUCAUCCAGUUUUCUUGUGCGAGCCAACCAAUCGUAUUAUUGACCUCACAACCGGAUGUGAUUUGGGAAGAAUCGACGUCACCGACGGCUUCCUCUGGGAGUCAUGGAGCGAGGACUACAGCACCAAAUUUGUGGCAUGGGUCUAUGACCUCAAAUAGAUUCGUUAUCCAACGAAUACCCAUACCGAAUACGUGCAUCGACAAAGCCUUUACCACUGAAGAAUCAUAAUGAAUAAAAAAUAAAAAAAAACAGGAAGGAAAACAACAACGCUAAAAGCGUUUUUUGACAGGUUGGUUUUAUUUGUGGUCAAUUUUAUUAAAUGACGACAAAAAUAAUUUUGAACAUAAUUAAAAGAAUGAAAUUCGUCGA